Molecule: ribosomal RNA, 622 nt
Filed under: uncultured bacterium
Lineage: Bacteria
Description: bacterial SSU rRNA
Rfam family: Bacterial small subunit ribosomal RNA (bases 1-540)
Source: RNAcentral
CCUACGGGAGGCAGCAGUGGGGAAUUUUGGACAAUGGGGGCAACCCUGAUCCAGCCAUGCCGCGUGAGUGAAGAAGGCCUUCGGGUUGUAAAGCUCUUUCGGCCGGAACGAAAUCGCGCACGUGAAUAACGUGCGUGGAUGACGGUACCGGAGUAAGAAGCACCGGCUAACUACGUGCCAGCAGCCGCGGUAAUACGUAGGGUGCGAGCGUUAAUCGGAAUUACUGGGCGUAAAGCGUGCGCAGGCGGUUCGCUAAGUCAGACGUGAAAGCCCCGGGCUUAACCUGGGAACGGCGUUUGAAACUGGCGGGCUCGAGUACGGCAGAGGGGGGUGGAAUUCCACGUGUAGCAGUGAAAUGCGUAGAUAUGUGGAGGAACACCGAUGGCGAAGGCAGCCCCCUGGGCCGAUACUGACGCUCAUGCACGAAAGCGUGGGGAGCAAACAGGAUUAGAUACCCUGGUAGUCCACGCCCUAAACUAUGUCAACUAGUUGUCGGGGAAGCAAUUCCUUGGUAACGCAGCUACGACGUGAGUAGACGCCGUGGGAGGUACGGUCGCGAGAUAAACUACAANAGAGUAGACGGCGUGAGACGUGCCGACGGACGACGACGAGGGAGGUUAGG